Molecule: long non-coding RNA, 3951 nt
Organism: Octopus bimaculoides (California two-spot octopus)
Lineage: Eukaryota; Metazoa; Mollusca; Cephalopoda; Octopoda; Octopodidae
Source: RefSeq, a predicted model, not a curated record
UGUGGGGGAACGGGAGAGAAAAUCAGAAACUGACUGGAGUUAGGUAUUUAUAAUUGCAGUAUUUUCUUCAUCUCACCCACACACACAUGUAUGUAGAUAGACAGAUAGAAAUGCUGCCAAAUGUGUAAGAAGUUCUCUUCCUAACCAUGAAGUCUUGGGUUCGAUCAUAGUGAGCAGUAUGAUACUGAGGUCAUUUGAAACUGUUAAGUUGAAUAAGAACAAAAUCGAAUUGCAAAUCAAUAUCGUUAAAAUGACAUCAUACAAACGGGCUUUUCUCAGGCUUGGAAGAGAAGAGUAUCUUUGGACACUCGCCUGACUGGUGCCAAAUGUUGCCAUCCAGCCAAUCGUUGCUCCACAGAGUAGAUUCCAAAAUGUAUGUCGAAUGGUCGGAUCUACACGAAAUCUGAAAACGGUGAAAUGUUAUAAUCCUUUAUUCAUUUCGUUGUGUCAAAAAUUAGCAGGAGAUAUAUUAAUGAAUAUUAAGAAAGGCCGCAAACAGAGAACUGGAGGCUGCGAAGUGAGUCAAGAAAAAUAUGGGAGUGGUGGUGGAUUUCUGUCGUUUGACAAGGAGGAUUCAGUUGUUUGAGCAACCGAAUUAUGUGUUCCUGAAUUAACGAGUAAGUGGCCAGCCAGUACAUGGACAUGUGUUCCCUUGACAUAGUUCUCAGUUAGAAUCAGCGUCACACAUUGUGUAUAUAAUGAGGCUGUACAUUUCGAAUAAAGGGUGAAAUCCAGCCGACGGGAUUCUACAGUUUACGUCUGUCCAAUAUCACUCAAAAAACAAGGGUCCAAGAGGCCAUUCAAUGGAACCGAAGCCGGGCCCCAGAGUUGCGAAUGUCUUAAUUGUUCAGCCAUAUUGCGCUCAACGAUUGGUAAAAUAAGCACCAGCCAAACACUGGGAUCGAUGUAAUCGGUUUUCCCCUCCCACUGAAAUUGCUGACCUCGCGCCGAAGUUUGAAGCAAUUAUAUAUAACAAUGUAUACAGCAUGACGUGAAGGCAUAUGGCCUAGUGGUUAGAGCAGCGGAGUUGCGGUCGCGGGUUCGAAUCUCAGACCGGGCGAUGUGUGUGUUUAAGAGCGAAACACCUAAGCUCUACGCGGCUCCGGCAGAAGGUAAUGGCAGAAAUUCUGCUAACUCUUUCUCUCACUUUUUCCUCCUGCAUCUAGCAGCUCACCUGCGACGGACCGGCGUCCCAUCUAGGUGCGGAACCUAUACGCCAGUGAAACAAGAGAAACCGGCUUUUAUGAGCCAGCCUUGUCUCGAGAAGGAACAAACAACAAUAUACAGCAUAACAAAUACCACUUUACAUAUAUACAUUAUAUCCAAAAUUGUAUAUACAUUACACAAUUAUAUAUGCAACAUUAUAUUGGUUUGUUAGAUAAGUUCGUCCGUUUCUUUCACAUGUUAACUGAAUUAGCAUGAAAAAUAUUUUUUGUAGUGUUUUAGGGAAUUGAUCCAGCAGAUGAGAUACUCUCAUGUCCCCUGUCUCCAUCACAGGAUGGGUAAGGUCCAACAACUUGAUGCAUGGAUACUACACACUCUGAACAAAUGAAAUGAACUCCAACGAUCUUCUAUCAUAGCCAGUUUGCUCAAUUCACUCCAAGCUAUUCGUUGACACAGAAAUUUCUUUGCUACAUCGUCACCGGCGAUGGAAAAUUGUAUCUAUCUCAAUACGAAGUAAAGGAAGCAACACCUCGAAUCAAGCGAGAGCUGCAUCCUUGCAUGACAAUAAGCUGUGCCUGAUGGGAAUGAGAAGGACCAUUGUUGAACAGAAAAACAGCAAUGGGGCAGGUGCACAAAAUACCAGUUAAUGAUCGUCUUGAGAAAUUGCAGGAAGUGAUCGACAAAUGUAUGCGUGGGUCGAGGAUCGAAAAGCGUACGACCUAGUUCUACACAUAAGACUCAAGCUACGCCUAGAACUAUUGAAGGUCUCGGAAAAAUCUUAGGUGCCCAUUAUAAAAUGCAGUGCGACAUUGGUGAGUAGAUUUAGCGCAAAGAAAUUAAAGAUAAGCAAAUAUACAGAUCAAAAGAGGAACCUUUCAAAGGGACAGCUUCUCUCCAACCUAGUUUAUAAUCGCCUUUAUUCCUUUGUUGAUCCUAUUAAGCAAAACUAAGGAAGGAUAUUCACUCAAAAGCAAUUUUAAAAGAAAUACAGGAAAAGUGAAUUAUCUAUUUAUGGAUACUGUAAAGUUUUAUAGUAAAGACAAGAUCCCAACAGGAUUCUUUUUUUACAAAUUGUAAGAAUGUUUAAUAACGACAUCAGGGUAGCUUUCGAAAUCGAAAGAUGUGUUAUGAAAACUAUGAGCCGGUGAAAACCCAUAAAAAGUACUUGAAUAGAUCAAUCUAUUGAGAAUUUAAAAUCAUUAAAUGUAGAACAAACAAAUAUGUAGGAAUGCUGGAAAACGACAUCUUCGGCAAAUAAUAUUUUUGCGAAAUGCAUAAGAUACUAAAAUCCAAAGUGAAUUCGAGAAAUAUCCCACAAGCAAUAAACUUGAGGGAUGUUAUGACUGAUAUGGAACUGUUGUUAUUGAAUGCAGAAAGAAUGAACUGAAGGAAACAGACAGAAAAACGAAAGUAAGCUCGCAAUGCAGAGGUGCAUGUAUCCCUAAUCUGAUGUGGAGUAGUUAUACUGGGAAAGUGCAAAAGAAGAGAGAAGGUUAAUGCGUGUCAAAGAGGUAGCUUAAACAGAGAAGACCAGUCUAGGUUCAGAUAAAGAAGGAAAAAGAAGAAGCAAUUAAUAAGGGAAGAAAUAUGUACAUAAUUUGUAGAAACGAAAAGACAAAACAGGAAAAUCUGAAAAAGAGGAAAUCAAACUUUGAAGAUAAGGAGACUCAGUGUUUUCCAAAAAUACGAAAGCGAAAUGGGACAGCAAUAGCUCCUAGUUAUGGCUAAAGAAAAGGGUGUUGCAGUAAGAAACUGAGGAAAUGCACUCGUUAGAACAGGAACAAUGUGUAAGGAUAAACUGACCCAAACAGACAAUAGCAAUUUUUAGGGGAGCGGGUGGUCGAUUACAUUAAGCUCAGUAUUUGACAGGUACUUUUACUAGGUAUCGUGUUGCUAUUUCUAGCAGCAAAAACCAAAGGUUCGUUCUGUUGUUUGACGGAUUAUUAUUAUUAUUAUUAUCAUCAUUAUUAUUGUUGUUGUCCUGAAAUUUUGGGAUGGAGGAUAAUCUAUUACAUCGAGCCCCAGUGCUUGACUGGUAAUCUAUUAAGUAAUCUAUCGAACCCGAAAGGAUGACAGGCAAAGUUGACUUCUACGGAACUUGAAAUCAGAACGUGAAGACUGACUAAAUGUUCCUAAGCAUUUUGUCCAGCGUGCUAACGAUUCUGUCAGCUCGCUGCCUUAAUAAUAAUCCUUUCUACUAUAGGCACAAGGUCUGAAAUUUGGCGGAGGAGGCUAGUUGAUUACCUUGACCCAGUGUUCAACAGGUAUUUAUUUUAUCGACCUCGAAAAGAUGAAAGACAAAAUUGACCUCGGCGGAAUUUGAACUCAAAACAAAGACGGACGAAAUGCCGCUAAGUAUUUUGUCCAUCGCGCUUAACGAUUCUGUUAGCUCGCCGUCUAGAUAAUAAUAAUAAUAUUCAGGGACCUUUUGAGCUAGAUGGGUUACUCGACCUGAAGAAAAUUCUAACUGGGCCCUAUCUGCGAGGUCAUGCGCUGUUUAUCUUGAUAUGAGAUCACCAUGUCGUGCACAUAUGGUUGAGAUGCAUGUGCCUGGUGUACUCUUAUCAGACGGGUAGUCAUAAUGGGUAUAAUGGGCUUCGUAUAUUUUACCCCGGUGUCACUUUGAUGGCAUACACUGCUCUCUCACUCAAUAAUAAUAAUAAUAACAACAACAACAUUCGUAUCAGAAGUACAAGGCCACACAUUUUGCGACAGAUUAAACUGACUCCUCUGUUGAUUCUAGUAAAAUUAUAAAAAAAGAUCUUAUACUUACUUCGUAUGAACUGG